UCGAACGAGGCCUUCGGGUCUAGUGGCGGACGGGUGAGUAAUGCUUGGGAAUCUACCUAGUAGUGGGGGAUAACGUGUGGAAACGCACGCUAAUACCGCAUACGUCCUACGGAAGAAAGCAGGGGACCUUCGGGCCUUGCGCUAUUAGAUGAGCCCAAGUCGGAUUAGCUAGUUGGUAGGGUAAAGGCCUACCAAGGCGACGAUCCGUAGCUGGUCUGAGAGGAUGAUCAGCCACACUGGAACUGGUACACGGUCCAGACUCC
Molecule: ribosomal RNA, 263 nt
Filed under: uncultured bacterium
Lineage: Bacteria
Description: partial 16S ribosomal RNA
Rfam family: Bacterial small subunit ribosomal RNA
Source: RNAcentral